CCUACGGGUGGCAGCAGUGAGGAAUAUUGGUCAAUGGUCGGAAGGCUGAACCAGCCAAGCCGCGUGAAGGACGAAGGUGCAGAGUAUUGUAAACUUCUUUUGUCAGGGAACAAAAUCUGGCUCGCGACCCCGAACGAGGGUACUUGAAGAAAAAGCAUCGGCUAACUCCGUGCCAGCAGCCGCGGUAAUACGGAGGAUGCGAGCGUUAUCCGGAUUUAUUGGGUUUAAAGGGUGCGUAGGCGGACUGUUAAGUCAGCGGUAAAAGCCCGGGGCUAAACCCCGGCGAGCCGUUGAAACUGGCUGUCUUGAGGUGGCGAGAGGUAUGCGGAAUGCGCGGUGUAGCGGUGAAAUGCAUAGAUAUCGCGCAGAACUCCGAUUGCGAAGGCAGCAUGCCGGCGGCGAACUGACGCUGAGGCACGAAAGCGUGGGUAUCGAACAGGAUUAGAUACCCUUGUAGUC
Molecule: ribosomal RNA, 459 nt
Filed under: uncultured bacterium
Lineage: Bacteria
Description: partial 16S ribosomal RNA
Rfam family: Bacterial small subunit ribosomal RNA
Source: RNAcentral